This 215-nucleotide long non-coding RNA is filed under the name Medicago truncatula (barrel medic). RNAcentral describes it as "long non-coding RNA (MTRU_LNC007454)". The record is from RNAcentral. Lineage: Eukaryota; Viridiplantae; Streptophyta; Magnoliopsida; Fabales; Fabaceae.
AUAGUCUUUUUAGUCGUAACAGUCAAAGGUCUAAUCGUAUUUUAAAAAAAAAUCGCGUCUUUUUAAUCAUUUCAAACAAAAUUUCGACAGGGAGGUUACUUUGGAGUACCUCAUUUUGGUUUCCGAAAGAGACAAUUUUUAAUUUUAUUAAUUCAUUUUCUCCAUCUUUAUUAUUAUCUUUGAUUCUCAUAAUUUAAUUUCCUCUUUUAUUUUUU